ACAGCAGCCUUAAGUUAGCCAUGGUCUUAGACCAGUGGUUCUCAACUGUUGUCACCCUGGGAUCUUGCUGAAAACAUAUGCAAAGACAUAACAAUAUAGUGCUGGAUUUUUGAGAUAUAGCUUAAGCAUCUUUUUCACUGUUUGAAUUUUCCUGAUUUUGUGGGCGGGGCUAAAACACAGGCAUAUACUUUGUAGCACAAGUUCCCUCCCCCACUAUGUAAGUAGAAAGUGACAUCAUUUCGUUUGGCCGAUCAGUUGAGUGUUAGCUCUGCUUUGCUUCCAUAACAAGCCCCAUUUACCACUCCAGCGUGCAGUUAGCAAGCUAACAAGGGCUACACCCCGAAAAUGCGUUUUCGCUGGAUGCCUUUGUACAUCAUGACGCUGAAUUUACAGAACAGUUCGGUGAUGUUUUUUUAAGCUUAAAAAAAAAAAGAGGAAAUCAAAAACUAUAGAUUGACUUUUUAAAGACACGCGGAUGGCGAGCUGACCUUCAACGCGACUCUGCAGUGCGCACUUUGCGACGGACAGUUUUGUAAACUUUCACCAGAGACAAAAUGGCUUCGUGGGUAACUUGAUACGAUUGAAUGGCGCAGUGCCGACUAACUACUUGGGCUACCUCCAACCGUCCCGCUGUCGUCAGGUGCUGUGUUCGGCUAUGACAUUAUGUGAGGACUCCAAGAUACUCCUCCACUUGGAGUAGGAUGUCAUCCCUGACCUGGAGAGGGCACGCCACCCUUUUCCAACUGAGGACCAUGGUCUCAGAUUUGGAGGUGCUGAUUUUCGUUGCGGCCGCUUCACACUCGGCUGCAAACCGCUCCAGUGAAAGUUGGAGAUCACGGCUUGAUGAAGCCAACAGAGCCACAUCAUCUGCAUAAAGCAGAGAUGCAUUACUGAGGCCACCAAACUGGACCCCGUCUACGCCUCGGCUGCGCCUAGAAAUUCUGUCCAUAAAAGUAAUGAGCAGAAUCGGUGACAAAGGGCAGCCUUGGCGGAAUCCAACCCUCUCCGUAAAGGAGUCUGACUCACUGCCAGCAAUGCGGACCAAACUCUGGCACUGGUCAUACAGGGCCUGAACAGCCCAUAUCGGGGGGAUCGGUACGUCAUACUCCCGAAACACCCCCCGACAGGACUCCCUGAGGGACACGGUCGAAUGCCUUCUCCAAGUCCACAAAACACAUGUUGGUUGGGCGAACUCCCAUGCACCCUUGAGGACCCUGCCGAGGUUGUAGAGCUGGUCCACUGCUGCACGGCCAGGACGAAAACCACCUCGGUGACCUCAACCCCAGAGAUAGGAGAGCCUGCCUCAGAGAUCCCAGACUCUGCUUCCUCAUGGGGCAGGCGUGUCGAUGGAAUUGAGGAGGUCUUCGAAGUAUUCUCCCCACCUACUCACAACGUCCCAAGUCGAGGUCAGCAAUCCCCCAUCGACCCACUAUACAUAGUGUUGAUGGUGCACUGCUUCCCCCUCUGAAGACACCGGACGGUGGACCAGAAUUUCCUCGAAGCUUUCCUGAAGUCUUUGUCCAUGGCCUCACAGAACUCCUCCAACGCCAGAGUUUUUGCUUCAGCGACCACCAAAGCUGCAUUCCGCUUGGCCAGCCGGUACCCAUCAGCUGCCUCAGGAGUCCCACAGGCCAAAAAGGCCCGAUAGGACUCCUUCUUCAUCUUGACGGCAUCCGACCACCUUACGGCCAACAGCUCCGUUCGGCCGCCUCAGCAAUGGAGGCGCGGAACAUGGUCCACUCGGACUCAGUGUCCCCGCCCCCCCUGGAACAUCAGUAAAGUUCUGUCGGAGGUGGGAUUUGAAACUUCUUCUGACAGGGGAUUCUGCCAGCAGACCCUCAGAAUAUGUUUGGGCCAGCCAGAUGGGACCGGCAUCUUCCCCCACCAUCGGAGCCAACUCACCACCAGGUGGUGAUCAGUUGAUAGUUCUGCCCCUCUCUUCAACCGAGUGUCCAAGACAUGCGGCUGCAAUUCCGAUGACAACCACAAAGUCGAUCAUCGAACUGCGACCUUGGGUGCCCUGGGGCCAAGUGCACGUGUGGACACCCUUAUGCUCACACAUGGUGUUCGUUAUGGACAAUCCAUGCGUUCCGCCCAAUCACAAUCCAUGCGUUCCGCCCAAUCACACCCUUCCAGGUCUCACUGAUAUUGCCCACGUGAGCAUUGAAGUCCCCCAGCAGAACAAUGGAGUCCCCAGCAGGAGCGCUCUCCAGCACCACCUCUAAGGACUCCAAAAAGUGUGGGUACUCUGAACUGCUGUUUGGUGCAUAGGCACAAACAGCAGUGAGGACCCAUCCCCCACCCGAAGAAUGAAUGAAUUGAACUGCAGAGCUCUUACCUCAACUGGUGGGAAACACAGAAGUCAAUGCACAUCCAGAUCAGCAUCAAGCACCAGAACUGGAGAGAGUCUUACCUUCAGCACUUCCAUGGGCACCUGUGCAGCGGCUGGUGCAGGGACGGUGACAUUGAUGGCAGGGGUCUGUGUAGCUGUGGUUUGCGGGUACUGGGAGUCCU
Molecule: long non-coding RNA, 2514 nt
Organism: Phyllopteryx taeniolatus (common seadragon)
Lineage: Eukaryota; Metazoa; Chordata; Actinopteri; Syngnathiformes; Syngnathidae
Exons: 4
Source: RefSeq, a predicted model, not a curated record